This 403-nucleotide ribosomal RNA is filed under the name uncultured bacterium. RNAcentral's name for it is "partial 16S ribosomal RNA". It matches the Rfam family "Bacterial small subunit ribosomal RNA", at positions 28 to 526 of the family's 1533-position model. The record is from RNAcentral.
GACGAACGCUGGCGGCGUGCCUAAUACAUGCAAGUCGAACGCAGUGGGGACGGGUGCGUAACACGUGGGUAACCUCCCAUCAGAGGGGAUAACACUUGGAAACAGGUGCUAAACCGAUACUGAUGGAUGGACCCGGGGUGCAUUAGCUCGUUGGGGAGGGAACGGCUCACCAAGGCCACGAUGCAUAGCCGAGCUGAGAGGGUGAUCGGCCACACUGGGACUGAGACACGGCCCAGACUCCUACGGGAGGCAGCAGUGGGGAAGCUUGGGCAAUGGACGAAAGGCUGACCGAGCAACGCCGCGUGAGUGAAGAAGGUUUUCGGAUUGUAAAGCUCUGUUGUCAGAGAAGCGGUAUCUAACCAGAAAGCCACGGCUAACUACGUGCCAGCAGCCGCGGUAAUUC